CCCUUAGAUGUUCUGGGCCGCACGCGCGCUACACUGAUGCAUUCGACGAGUCUAAAACCUGCUCUGAUAGGGGUGGGUAAUCUUUUGAAUGUGCAUCGUGAUUGGGAUAGAUGAUUGCAAUUUUUCAUCUUCAACGAGGAAUGCCUAGUAAACGCAAGUCAUCAGCUUGCAUUGAUUACGUCCCUGCCCUUUGUACACACCGCCCGUCGCUCCUACCGAUUGAAUGAUCCGAUGAAUAUCAUGGAUUGAGGAUGCAAGCAGGUUCGCCUGUCUUCAUCUUCGAGAAGUGAAGUAAAUCUUAUCAUUUAGAGGAAGGAGAAGUCGUAACA
RNAcentral lists this ribosomal RNA (329 nucleotides) under uncultured eukaryote. Its description in RNAcentral is "partial 18S ribosomal RNA". It matches the Rfam family "Eukaryotic small subunit ribosomal RNA", at positions 1470 to 1796 of the family's 1831-position model. The record is from RNAcentral.